RNAcentral lists this ribosomal RNA (653 nucleotides) under uncultured Providencia sp. Its description in RNAcentral is "bacterial SSU rRNA". It matches the Rfam family "Bacterial small subunit ribosomal RNA", at positions 848 to 1502 of the family's 1533-position model. Lineage: Bacteria; Pseudomonadati; Pseudomonadota; Gammaproteobacteria; Enterobacterales; Morganellaceae. The record is from RNAcentral.
GGAGCUAACGCGUUAAAUCGACCGCUGGGGAGUACGGCCGCAAGGUUAAAACUCAAAUGAAUUGACGGGGGCCCGCACAGCGGUGGAGCAUGUGGUUUAAUUCGAUGCAACGCGAAGAACCUUACCUACUCUUGACAUCCAGAGAAUUUAGCAGAGAUGCUUUAGUGCCUUCGGGAACUCUGAGACAGGUGCUGCAUGGCAGUCGUCAGCUCGUGUUGUGAAAUGUUGGGUUAAGUCCCGCAACGAGCGCAACCCUUAUCCUUUGUUGCCAGCACAUUAUGGUGGGAACUCAAAGGAGACUGCCGGUGAUAAACCGGAGGAAGGUGGGGAUGACGUCAAGUCAUCAUGGCCCUUACGAGUAGGGCUACACACGUGCUACAAUGGCGUAUACAAAGAGAAGCGACCUCGCGAGAGCAAGCGGAACUCAUAAAGUACGUCGUAGUCCGGAUUGGAGUCUGCAACUCGACUCCAUGAAGUCGGAAUCGCUAGUAAUCGUAGAUCAGAAUGCUACGGUGAAUACGUUCCCGGGCCUUGUACACACCGCCCGUCACACCAUGGGAGUGGGUUGCAAAAGAAGUAGGUAGCUUAACCUUCGGGAGGGCGCUUACCACUUUGUGAUUCAUGACUGGGGUGAAGUCGUAACAAGGUAACCA